Molecule: long non-coding RNA, 751 nt
Organism: Cucumis sativus (cucumber)
Lineage: Eukaryota; Viridiplantae; Streptophyta; Magnoliopsida; Cucurbitales; Cucurbitaceae
Exons: 6
Source: RefSeq, a predicted model, not a curated record
UCCUCCUCUUCUUCUUCUCUUCUUCUUCUUCUUCUCUGUGGAAGAUCCACACGUCGCCCCUCUUCGAUUUUUCCUCCCUUCCGCUAACUAUCUCUCUCCCUCUCUCAUGUACGCCGGAAAAGACUAGACUUAUGGUCAACAACGCGCAAAAUCCCUCUCUUUCUCUCCUUCAGCCGAUGCAACCACCCAACACCCCUUGCACCGCUGAGCUCACUGGAAAUCAAGGUCAAGGGAGAUGUCAUGGCUAUGGGCUGAAGCUUUGAGAAAAAGAGAAUGAAAAAUGAAAUGUGAGAUUUUAAACUUUGAUAGUGUGUAGGGUCUUUUUGUUUGUCUAUGCAUUUUCCAAGUGAAUUUUAGUACUUUUGAUUUUUCUAUUGAUAUUUUGUUUAUGGUUGCUAUUGAGUUGCUUUGAUUGAAGGAUAGAGGGAAGUGAUUAUUGAUAAUUAUAGGGCUUGAAGAAUCCUCGAGAGAGUGACAAUGCUUGUUGAAUUUUUAUGAAAAUGCAACAUUGAAAAGGUUGAUGAGUUUCCAAUUUCAAAAGUCUACCUAAAGCUCUAUUGUUUGUUUAACUCAAAGGUAAAAAAAAGUAAAGUAUGUGGACUUGCACCGAAUAGAGCCAUGGAAUUGGUGCAAGGGUUUGAUCAAGAGGUUGCUGCAGUUGUUGUGGCAAGAUUAACUUCAUAAAAAAUGGAGAUGGAGGUUCAACCGGAGUCGACAACUUCAUGAGUUUUCUUUCAAAGAACAUUUUCAG